CGACUUUUUGUUUGUCUACAGAUCCGUGAUUUUAUUGUUGCGGAUUUCAAAUGCAAUCACCAGAAGCAAAGAGCAUGUCAAAACGUUCACUCGAAGGAUUAUACUUUUGAUAAAAAGGCCGAAUGUGACCAAGAUUCUUGAAAGGAAAAAUAUGUUUUUUCUUGAGGUCUCCAGUAAAUAAGCAAAAUGGCUUGGAACUUGCUAUGAAAAAUCAACGGACUGGAAAAUUCGAGUAAAAAUACAUUGAAGUGCAUUGGUUUUCCGUUUAAAGAAACUGUAAUUUUCAAUCCACAUGUAAAAUUAUAAUAAAAUGCGUUGAAGAAAGCACGACAA
Molecule: long non-coding RNA, 333 nt
Organism: Topomyia yanbarensis
Lineage: Eukaryota; Metazoa; Arthropoda; Insecta; Diptera; Culicidae
Exons: 2
Source: RefSeq, a predicted model, not a curated record